Molecule: ribosomal RNA, 2130 nt
Filed under: Triticum aestivum (bread wheat)
Lineage: Eukaryota; Viridiplantae; Streptophyta; Magnoliopsida; Poales; Poaceae
Description: partial small subunit ribosomal RNA
Source: RNAcentral
AUGAACGGUGUAUUGACUAAAGGUGGAAAGAAAUACUUCAUGACAUUGAUAGAUGAUUCCACUAGGUAUUGCUAUGUGUAUCUGUUAAAUACUAAAGAUGAGGCUCUACACUACUUUAAAAUCUAUAAGGCAGAAGUUGAGAAUCAACCUGAAAAGAAAAUUAAACGAUUCCGUUCAGAUCGUGGUGGAGAGUACUUCUCGAGUGAGUUUGAUUCCUUCUGUGCGGAACACGACAUUAUUCAUGAGAGGACGCCUCCCUAUUCACCCCAGUCAAACGGGGUUGCCGAGCGGAAAAACCGUACUCUAACGGAUCUGGUUAACGCCAUGUUAGAUACGUCGGGUUUAUCCAAGGCAUGGUGGGGGGAGGCUAUAUUGACGGCAUGUCAUGUCCUGAAUAAAGUUCCGAUAAAGGAUAAUGAGAUCACUCCCUAUGAGAGAUGGGCCAAUAGAAGGACAACACUCUCGUACUUGCGUACUUGGGGCUGUUUGGCGAAAGUCAACGUGCCGAUCCCCAAAAAGCGUAAGCUUGGACCCAAGACUGUGCACUGCGUUAAUUUGGGCUACGCUAAGAACAGCGUUGGCUAUAGAUUUCUAGUAGUGAAAUCUGAGUUACCUGACCAGAAGGUCGGUACAAUCAUAGAGUCUAAGGAUGCUACAUUCUUUGAGGAUAUUUUUCCUAUGAGAGAUAUGCAAAGCACUUCUAGACAGGAAUCUGAGGAGACACCUGAGCCUGCCAUUCCUAUGGAAUAUUAUGAACGAACACAUGAUGAAAAUCCCGAGGAGGAUGACGAGGAAACCCUUGGUAGGGGCAAGAGACAAAGGACUGCAAAGACCUUUGGUGAUAAUUUCUUCGUGUACCUUGUGGAUGAUACUCCCACUUCUAUCUCAGAAGCGUAUGCCUCUCCAGAAGCUGACUACUGGAAGGAUGCGGUCCGUAGCGAGAUGGAUUCCACCAUGGCUAACGGGACAUGGGAGAUCACUGAGCAUCCCUAUGGUUGCAAACCAUUGGGAUGUAAGUGGGUGUUCAAGAAAAAGCUUAGGCCCGAUGGUUCGAUUGAAAAGUACAAGUCUAGGCUUGUGGCCAAGGGCUAUGACCAGAAAGAAGAGGAAGAUUUCUUCGAUACUUAUUCACUUGUGGCUAGACUGACCACCAUUCGAUUAUUACUCUCGUUGGCGGCCUCACAUGGUCUUCUCGUCCAUCAAAUGGAUGUUAAGACGGCUUUUCUGAAUGGAGAGCUAAAUGAGGAAAUCUACAUGCAACAGCCAGACGGCUUUGUGAUAGAUGGUCAGGAAAGGAAGGUGUGUAAGUUACUGAAAUCUUUAUAUGGCCUGAAGCAAGCACCUAAGCAAUGGCAUGAUAAGUUCAAUACAACUCUGACAUCUGUUGGUUUCGUUGUUAAUGAGGCUGACAAAUGUGUAUACUAUCGCCAUGGUGGGGUCGAAGGAGUUAUACUGUGCUUGUAUGUUGAUGACAUACUGAUAUUCGGAACAAACCUCAAAGUCAUUGAGGAGGUCAAAUCGUUUCUGUCUCAGAACUUUGAGAUGAAGGACCUUGGUGUGGCUUAUGUUAUCUUGAACAUCAAGCUACUGAGAGAUAAUGAGGGUGGGAUCACACUUCUGCAAUCCCAUUAUGUUGAGAAGGUGUUGAGUCGUUUUGGAUAUUCGGACUGCACACCAUCUCAAACACCAUAUGAUCCUAGCGUGUUGAUUCGAAAGUCCAAAGGCAUGGCUAAAGAUCAAUUGAGAUACUCUCAAAUCAUUGGUUCACUGAUGUACCUAGCGAGCGCAACGAGGCCUGACAUCGCGUUUGCUGUGAGCAAACUGAGCCGGUUUGUUUCCAAACCGGGUGAUGUACAUUGGCAUGCUGUUAAAAGAGUUAUGCGCUAUCUGAAAGGUACUAUGAACUAUGGACUUCACUAUACCGGAGACCCGUCGGUACUUGAAGGGUAUAGUGAUGCGAAUUGGAUCUCUGGUGCUGAUGAGAUGAAGGCCACAACUGGGUAUAUGUUUACUCUUGGAGGUGGCGCUGUUUCCUGGAAGUCUUGCAAGCAAACGAUCUUAAUGAGAUCGACAAUGGAAGCAGAAUUAACAGCAUUAGACACUUCUGGUGUUGAAGCAGGAUGGCUUUGA